RNAcentral lists this ribosomal RNA (338 nucleotides) under Pelobates cultripes (western spadefoot toad). RNAcentral describes it as "SSU rRNA". It matches the Rfam family "Eukaryotic small subunit ribosomal RNA", at positions 194 to 473 of the family's 1831-position model. The record is from RNAcentral. Lineage: Eukaryota; Metazoa; Chordata; Amphibia; Anura; Pelobatidae.
UUAAGGAUGGCAUGUUGUCCUUGUAAUGGGGAUCCAGCAGGGUGGCCACCCAGUAAUCAGCACAAGUUAGAAUGUGGGCAACUUGGCAGUCAUUGCACAGGCACUUUGGUGACUCUAGAUAACCUUGGGCCGAUCGCACGUCCCCGUGACGGUGACGACGCAUUCGGAUGUCUGCCCUAUCAACUUUCGAUGGUACUUUCUGCACCUACCAUGGUGACCACGGGUAAAGGGGAAUCAGGGUUCAAUUGGGGAGAGGGAGCCUGAGAAACGGCUACCACAUCCAAGGAAGGCAGCAGACGCGCAAAUUACCCACUCCCAACGCAGGGAGGUAGUGACGA